RNAcentral lists this non-coding RNA (111 nucleotides) under uncultured Anaerobiospirillum sp. RNAcentral's name for it is "Ribosomal S15 leader". It matches the Rfam family "Ribosomal S15 leader". From Rfam's summary of the family: The E. coli Ribosomal S15 gene 5' UTR can form two alternative structures. One that is a series of three hairpins, The other includes a pseudoknot. The record is from RNAcentral. Lineage: Bacteria; Pseudomonadati; Pseudomonadota; Gammaproteobacteria; Aeromonadales; Succinivibrionaceae.
UUCCUGAGUUUGUGAUCGGAAAGGGCGUAUCGUUAUCACAAAGGAGCAAUGCACAAUGGCAUUAACUGUCGAGCAGAAGGCAAAGAUCGUUUCUGAGUUUGGUCGUGGCGC